UACGUAGGGGGCAAGCGUUGUCCGGAUUUAUUGGGCGUAAAGAGCUCGUAGGCGGUUUCGUAAGUCGAGUGUGAAAAAUCUGGGCUCAACCCAGUGGAGCACUUGAUACUGCGAUGACUGGAGUACGGUAGAGGAGUGUGGAAUUCCUGGUGUAGCGGUGAAAUGCGCAGAUAUCAGGAGGAACACCAACGGCGAAGGCAGCACUCUGGGCCGGUACUGACGCGGAGGAGCGAAAGCGUGGGGAGCAAACAGG
This 253-nucleotide ribosomal RNA is filed under the name uncultured bacterium. RNAcentral describes it as "partial 16S ribosomal RNA". It matches the Rfam family "Bacterial small subunit ribosomal RNA", at positions 524 to 776 of the family's 1533-position model. The record is from RNAcentral.